GACGAACCGUGCGAACGUUAUUCGGAAUCACUGGGCUUAAAGGGCGCGUAGGCGGGCCGACAAGUCAGGGGUGAAAUCCUCCAGCCCAACUGGAGAAGCGCCUUUGGUACUGUCGGCCUCGAGGGGUGCAGGGGCAUGCGGAACUCAGGGUGGAGCGGUGAAAUGCGUAGAUAUCCUGAGGAGCACCGGUGGCGAAGGCGGAUCUCUGGGCCUUACCUGACGCUCAGGCGCGAAAGCUAGGGGAGCGAACUGG
This 253-nucleotide ribosomal RNA is filed under the name uncultured bacterium. Its description in RNAcentral is "partial 16S ribosomal RNA". It matches the Rfam family "Bacterial small subunit ribosomal RNA", at positions 524 to 776 of the family's 1533-position model. The record is from RNAcentral.